CAGCCACCUCUGCUACUCCAGAACAAAACUCAGCAGUCUACACUACUACCACAGGAAGAAUCUCAGGUGUCUAUAUUUCUACUACAGUUCAGAGCUCAGCCACCUCUUCUACUCCAGAACAAAACUCAG
This is a long non-coding RNA of Pelobates fuscus (common spadefoot toad), 129 nucleotides long. RefSeq lists it as uncharacterized. The record is from RefSeq and is a predicted model, not a curated record. The transcript has 4 exons. NCBI's taxonomy places the organism in Eukaryota, Metazoa, Chordata, Amphibia, Anura, Pelobatidae.